CAUAAUCCUAUUUACUAUGCACAAGUAAAGACAGAUUAUGAAUCCACGUGGUAGAUGCAGUUGUAGGUUCCAACUGGUGCACAUCUUAUUAGAGACAGCAACCAAGCUCGAAGUAAGCAGAGCGAAGACAAUUAGCUAUACCUCGAUAGGCUUAAUGAGGUGCUUAACAGUCUAACACUAACUGAACAAUAAGUGUUA
Molecule: non-coding RNA, 198 nt
Submitted as: unclassified sequences
Source: Rfam